GCUUGUCUCAAAGAUUAAGCCAUGCAUGUCUCAGUAUAAGCUUGUGCAUAGUGAAACUGCGAACGGCUCAUUAUAACAGUUAUAAUUUGUUUGGUGUUCAAGUUUACAUGGGUAACUGUGGCAAUUCUAGAGCUAAUACAUGCGCAAAUACCCAACUGCUUGUCGGACGGGUAGCAUUUAUUAGAUUGAAACCAAUGCAGUCUUCGGGCUGGUAUUGUGUUGAGUCAUAAUAACUGUGCGGAUCGCGUUUUACGCGAUAAAUCGAUUGAGUUUCUGCCCUAUCAGCUUUGGAUGGUAGGAUAUGGGCCUACCAUGGCAUUAACGGGUAACGGGGAAUUAGGGUUUGAUUCCGGAGAGGGAGCCUUAGAAACGGCUACCACAUCCAAGGAAGGCAGCAGG
RNAcentral lists this ribosomal RNA (399 nucleotides) under Salilagenidium thermophilum. RNAcentral's name for it is "partial small subunit ribosomal RNA". It matches the Rfam family "Eukaryotic small subunit ribosomal RNA", at positions 30 to 432 of the family's 1831-position model. Lineage: Eukaryota; Oomycota; Peronosporomycetes; Pythiales; Lagenidiaceae. The record is from RNAcentral.